This 480-nucleotide ribosomal RNA is filed under the name uncultured bacterium. RNAcentral describes it as "bacterial SSU rRNA". It matches the Rfam family "Bacterial small subunit ribosomal RNA", at positions 30 to 506 of the family's 1533-position model. The record is from RNAcentral.
UUGAACGCUGGCGGAAUGCUUUACACAUGCAAGUCGAGCGGCAGCGCGGGGCAACCUGGCGGCGAGCGGCGAACGGGUGAGUAAUACAUCGGAACGUGCCCGAGAGUGGGGGAUAACGGAGCGAAAGCUUUGCUAAUACCGCAUACGAUCUACGGAUGAAAGCAGGGGACCGCAAGGCCUUGCGCUCAUGGAGCGGCCGAUGGCAGAUUAGGUAGUUGGUGGGAUAAAAGCUUACCAAGCCGACGAUCUGUAGCUGGUCUGAGAGGACGACCAGCCACACUGGGACUGAGACACGGCCCAGACUCCUACGGGAGGCAGCAGUGGGGAAUUUUGGACAAUGGGCGCAAGCCUGAUCCAGCCAUGCCGCGUGCAGGAUGAAGGCCUUCGGGUUGUAAACUGCUUUUGUACGGAACGAAAAGACUCCUUCUAAUAAAGGGGGUCCAUGACGGUACCGUAAGAAUAAGCACCGGCUAACUACGU